UUUUGAUUUCAUAUAAUACUCAUGAUUUUCUAGGGGUGUGAAUUUCUGACACGACACGAAAACACGACACGAACCUAACACAAAAUUCAUGGGUUUGGGUUUAGCCUAAACGGGUUCGGGUCAGAUUCAGGUUGAACCUGCGAGCCCGUUUACCUAAACGGGUCAGGUUCGGGUCAAAUCAGUCGGGUUGGCGGGUUGACCCGUUUAGCCCAUUUCUAUUAUAUUAUAUUUUAAAAUAUGUUUUAUAUCAUAAAUUAAACUGAGUGUGUAUUUUAUGCUAUAAAUAUAACUUAAAAAUGGAAGUUGAGAAAAAAUUUUAUGAUUUUAAUGUAAUUUUAUUAUAUAAAUUUUAGUGUUAAUUUUAAUAUAUUAAUUUGCUGA
Molecule: long non-coding RNA, 381 nt
Filed under: Helianthus annuus (common sunflower)
Lineage: Eukaryota; Viridiplantae; Streptophyta; Magnoliopsida; Asterales; Asteraceae
Description: sRNA HanXRQr2_Chr11g0467471
Source: RNAcentral